Molecule: ribosomal RNA, 433 nt
Filed under: uncultured bacterium
Lineage: Bacteria
Description: partial 16S ribosomal RNA
Rfam family: Bacterial small subunit ribosomal RNA
Source: RNAcentral
AACGAACGCUGGCGGCAUGCCUAACACAUGCAAGUCGAACGAGACCUUCGGGUCUAGUGGCGCACGGGUGCGUAACGCGUGGGAACCUGCCCUUAGGUUCGGAAUAACUCACCGAAAGGGGUGCUAAUACCGGAUAAUGUCUUCGGACCAAAGAUUUAUCGCCUUUGGAUGGGCCCGCGUUGGAUUAGCUAGUUGGUAGGGUAAAAGCCUACCAAGGCGACGAUCCAUGGCUGGUCUGAGAGGAUGAUCAGCCACACUGGGACUGAGACACGGCCCAGAAUCGUACGGGAGGCAGGAGUGGGGAAUAUUGGAGGAUGGGCGAAAGCCUGAUACAGCAGUGCCGCGUGAGUGAUGAAGGCCUUAGGGUUGUAAAGCUCUUUUAGCCGGGAUGAUAAUGACAGUACCGGGAGAAUAAGCUCCGGCUAACUACGUG